Molecule: long non-coding RNA, 3381 nt
Organism: Panthera uncia (snow leopard)
Lineage: Eukaryota; Metazoa; Chordata; Mammalia; Carnivora; Felidae
Exons: 5
Source: RefSeq, a predicted model, not a curated record
CUGGGCGGGCGGCCGGGCGGGAGCCGGGAACUUCCUUUCCCGGGGCGUCCCCUCCUCGCAGGGGCGCGCGGAGCCCGGCCGCCCCCUGCUGGCCCUGGGCGGUUCGAGGUGGGCCUGAAAAAGUGCGGAGGCCACGGAGCCGGCUCGCGAACGCCGGGGUCCCGGCGCGCAGGCGCGGGGGUAGUGGUCCGGGGGCGCGGCUCUGGCCGGGGGUUAAACCUCCUUCCAGCCUCUGCCCCCAGAGGGUUUAACACCUGGAGUUCCCGCCUGCGAUUUCUCUCUUGCGGCCCCUUGGGAAAGGGAAUGGCAGAUUGACUCUGAACUUGGCAAAGGACUUACAACGCUUUAGUAUUUAAAUGAAGGAGUGGGUCUGAAGAAGACCAAGGAUCUGUAAAACAAUCUUAUUUAAGCCUUCAGCUACCAGAGGCUGUGACAUAAACCCCAGGAAUUGAUUGAGAAGUAAUAGGUAGUUUUGAGGGCUUUUAUUUAAAGAACAAAGAUAGGAAGCUUUGCCUUGCUGUGUUUAUAAAAGCGAGGGAAGCCCCCCACCCGUAAUAUUUAGAAACACCUGGAGCCGACAAUGCUCUGGCAGCGUCCUGAAAUAAACUAAAGAAGCUGUUCACUCUGCUAUAAUCUGACAUCUUUGAAAAAUGUUUUUCAGAGGUGGAGGCGUCUUAAAAUUUAGACAUCAAGUGAGGACACAGAAAGAAAACACAGGCCUGUAACCCAGGAAGUGGAUUUCACCGGAAACUGAAUCUGCUGACACCUUGAACUUGGACUUCUCAGAUUCCAGAACUAAGGAGAGCCCAGGAAGCUAUAUUUAAAAACAAACAAACAAAAAAAAAAUGAGAUGAGCAUGGCAUGCACUUGACUUGCAGAACUACUGACUUAAAAAUAAUACCAGAGGAAUGGCCUGCUUGGAAAAUCCCCCAGUGAUGCUUUCACACGUUCAUCGUACCUUUCAUACUUACUACGCUCUUUAUCUGGAAUAUGUUCCAAACCAUUACCUCAUCCAAGACUCUCCCAGAUGAAGGAAUGGGCCUCAGAUGUCACAGAUAAGAGGUGGUAGGUCCCAGACACAAAGCCGGACAACUGGUUCCAGAGUCCAUACUCUUCACUCUGCAUUGCUGCCUAUUCCAGAACUCAGCAGUUAGUAGCUUCAAGAGCAAGUAGACUAUUCGCUAUCAUCCAGGUAUAAUAAUUUGUCGAUUGGAACUGUUUGGCCUCAAGAGGGCAAGCUUUGCAAAUUCAAUCCGGCUGAAUUGACAGAAAAAGUCCUGGAAUUCAAGACUAAUUUGCCUAGGAGCUUCCUUGAAGCAAAGGCCAUGAAGUCUCAGUCAGCAAUGUGUUGUCCAAUGUAUAUGGUUAUGGCAUUUUGAGUCAGUUAGAAUAUCAAGAAGGUUUCAAGAUUUGCUACAUAUUAAUUAAAUACGUGUUAGUGGUUGAAGGAUGAUCUAUCAACAAAACGACUUAGUCAAAAUUUCCAGACUCUGGCCCUUUGAAAACAAAACCGUGAGGCCAGACCCAGCAUAGUUGUCAUAAUUACAUAGAGAUACUCUGAAAAGCAAGAUACUGGGUCAAUCAUUUCCUUUUCCCAUCUCCCACCAAUUCUACAUUAACGUAUUUAUUGAUUCCAUCUUAGGAAUUGUUCGGGUUAAAUAUGAAAUGUCAAUGCAACCAAUACUGUUUUUACUUUCAUUAGUGUGGUGGUCAAGUAAGUCUAAGUUAAACUUCAUUAACAAAAACCCUCAAACUGCCGUGUCUUAACCUAGAACACGUUUAUUUUUUGCUCAUGUGGAAUCCUAUGUGGAUCUGGGCGAGGCUCUAGGCAGCUGCCCACCACAUGAUGAUUGGGAUCCAUGCUGCUUCCAUGUGGUGGUGUCAUCGCCAUAUAAACUUCUGCAUCUGAAAUCGCUACACCAGAGCAAGAGAAGACUGAACAGUCUUGCACCAGCUAUUAAACGCUUAACCCUGAAGUGACACACGUAUCUUCUGUUUACGGGGCAUUGGUGAGUGCUAGUCAUGAAAGCCUGUCUACAUCCACAGGGUUAGAAAAGUAGAAGUCUACCAUAUGGCUGGAAGGAGAAGACACCAGAAAUUUCUCCCAUAUGUUAGAUUACUGUUUCUAGAUUACACAGAGAAUAAGCAAACACAUUUAUAUUGUGAAAGACAAGGAGUUAUUUCAAUAGUUAUAAGUGCAUUAUAUAAUGAUCCCUAUUGAAGUAUAAAACGCUAAAACUGAGACAAUUGUCUAGUGGCAAAUAUAUUACGGGAAGUGUUUUGCCCAUUAUAUGUGCUUAAGCUUGGACCAGUGUUGAACCUUGGUUUAUUGACAAUUUGAGGUGGAGAAUUCUUUGUUGUAGGGGGCUUUUAGCAUUCCUGGUCAUUAUCCACAAGAUGCCAGUAACCAAGACCCCUCACCACCCAGAUGUGAUGACCGGAUAUAUCUCCAGACAUUGCCAAAUGUCCUCCAGAGGGCAAAAUCACUCAAGGUUGAGAACCACUGGUUUGAAACACCCUCCCUCUAAUUGUCGACCCCAAACCUUUGAGUUAACACAGUAACUUAUGCUAUGCGUAUAUACUUUGCAAUCUAUAAAACACAUUACGUGGCUUCAUCUCCAUUCAUACGAUAAUUAGAAGAGAAUGGUAUUGUUAUAUUUAACACAAGGAAACAAGUUGGAAAAGGUGAAAUGCUCUGUCCAUUUCAGGUGAGUAAAUGGCAGGGAGACAACUCAUUCUAAAACCUCUCACUCUGGACUCAUAAAUAGUCAUAAGUCUAUUGAAUACCUUCUGUACGACAGGCACUGUUGUAGCUAUAGAGGAUACAUACAUAAAAGGUCCAGUUCCUGCUCUCAGGAGACUCCGAGUCUAGUGGAUGAAAGAGGCGAAUUAACGUAAAAUUACAUUGGCGGUAAUUAAGUGCUGAUAGAAAGGUUUCCAGCGGUUCAGAGGGAGGCACUUCACCCGCAGGAGUCUCAGGCAAGCAGUGGAGAUACUGCAGAAGAAAGGAAGGAAUGAUAGGACGCAAGGGAACAACGAGAAUGUUGAAUUCCAUUUCUGACUCACUGCAGGGAAAAGGAGCUGAAAUAGACAGCACUCCUAAGCAGAUCAAAAAGAAAGGAAAGCAUGAUAGUCUGAGCUGUGAAAGGGAAGAAUUGUGAAAAAAUGCUAAUCCCCAAACCUGCAGGCAGGUGUUGUCUGAACAGUUGCCAGAGACACUAACACCCAGCACAUCACAGCUGUUCUGUUUGUUGAUUCAAAUGAAUCCCAUUGAGCAUUACAGAAAAGCAUUAAAAAUUAAAAAAAAAAAAAGCUCAAACUCUAUAUCUUUGAAGUAUAAGAAAAGUAAAUGAGCAAGAAUAGGUUAAAAGAAGGGAUCUC